Molecule: long non-coding RNA, 2021 nt
Organism: Astyanax mexicanus (Mexican tetra)
Lineage: Eukaryota; Metazoa; Chordata; Actinopteri; Characiformes; Acestrorhamphidae
Exons: 5
Source: RefSeq, a predicted model, not a curated record
CUGCACCCUGAUAGCAGACUACUCCGAUCCGGAUCCGUUUUACCUCCGGCAGAUCCGCGCUACAGUCAGGUCUGUUUAGUGGAUCUGGUCCGGCUUCACUCCGGGUUCGGGUUAUGAUUGUGACUCACGUUCAGAUCCGUUUUACUGACGGUAAAUCCGCAUAACAGUCCGUCUCAUUUCACGCCUUCCAUAUGACUUCGGCACGGAGUCAGAUACCAGAUGUGAGUUCAGUGUCAGCUCAGUGUCGUUUUGCGGAUCCGGGCCGCAUCGGCGGAGCGGCACAGGAGCGGGAGAAAUUCAAACUCAGCGCGAGGACCAACUGACAUCUGCUGAAUCUGCGCUUCAGGGCUGCUGAGGGCUGGGGACCUGAGAUAAGGUGUAAUCAUUUACCCAUCAAAUCACCUAACAAGCAGGAUUUGGUAUCCGCAAAAUGGUUCGAGGUCCUCAGCCCUCGCCUCCCCCAGCACAGAGGAAAACUACCAAGGGCGGUACUCUCAUUAUAGGAGAUUCAAUUGUUAGACAUUUAAAAGUAUCUAAGAGUAAUGGCACAAUUUCAUGUCUUCCAGAUGCUUGCAUGCUGGUAGUCGGCAAGCGGCUCCCUGGGGCGCAUUGCCAAAGCAGGAACCCCGGCACCAUCGCCCUCCAUGUGGGGAUGAGCUUUCGGGAGCGACCGGCCCCAUUCCACAGAGACAGGCUUCUCUCUGUGAACAUCGAGGCGGUGCUACGCUGAGACUGACUGUCUCUACCCAGUCACACCAGCCAAGUAGGCUGCACUGUAGUGGUGUUAAGUGUCCAAGAAUGCUCUCAUCAGUGGAGGCACAGCUGGCUGCAAAAAACGUCUGUGUCUGCAUGUUUAUAUUAUGUGAAUUAAAAAUGGUUUUAUUAUUAAAAUAAUUGUAUUAAUGCCUGUUGAUUUAUAAAUUGUUUAAUUGAAAUCAAAAUUUAUUUAAGUAGCUUAAUUAAGUAUUGCAUUUAUAAGUGAUGGUAUUUUAUUUUAAUUAGCUUAAGUAUUGCAUUUAUAAGUGAUGGUAUUUUAUUUUAAUUAGCUUAAGUAUUGCAUUUAUAAGUGAUGGUAUUUUAUUGAAUUAGCUUAAUUAAUAUUGCAUUUAUAAGUGAUGAUAUUUUAUAUAAUUAGCUUAAUUAAGUAUUGCAUUUAUAAGUGAUGGUAUUUUAUUUUAAUUAGCUUAAGUAUUGCAUUUAUAAGUGAUGGUAUUUUAUUGAAUUAGCUUAAUUAAUAUUGCAUUUAUAAGUGAUAUUUUAUAUAAUUAGCUUAAUUAAUAUUGCAUUUAUAAGUGAUGAUAUUUUAUAUAAUUAGCUUAAUUAAGUAUUGCAUUUAUAAGUGAUGGUAUUUUAUUUAAUUAGCUUAAUUAAGUAUUGCAUUUAUAACUGAUGGUACUUUCAUUAAUUAGCUUAAUUAAGUAUUGCAUAUAUAAGUUAUGGUAUUUUAUUUAAUUAGCUUAAUUAAGUAUUGCUUUUAUAAUUAUUGUAUUUCAUUUAGCUAACCUAAUUAAGGAUUGCAUUUACAACUAAUGUUUUUUUUAUUAUAUUAUUUAAAUAUUGCAUUUGUAAUUUAAUGUACUGUAUUAAACUCUUUUAAUUUAUCAAUGUAAAAAGAAGUCAAAUAGCUUAGUGCUCUUUCUUUACUACUUUUAUUUUGAAAUAUGUCAUUAUAAUCAGUAAUAAGUAGGCUGGGGAACGUGAAAAGGCCGUGGCUUGGCCGUAGCUAAUACGGAACUAAUCCGGGGCUGAUCCAGAUCUGGUCCAGAUCUGUAACGGACCUGUUCCAGCGAGUGUAACGGUAAGCGGAUCCGGCCCAUAUUCGGUCUAAAGGAACACCUGAAACGCUUGGUCUGGACUGGUGCUGGCCCAGUAUCUUUUUGACUCCGUAAAACGGAUCCGUGACGGUUUUGGCCCGUUGUGCAUCUGGACCCCGGCCCAGAACCGUUUUACGGAUCCGGCGCGGAACUUGUGAUAGACUCGGCCCGGAUCCGGCCAGAAUGCUUUUUGCUAUCUGGGCAGCC